Molecule: transfer RNA, 67 nt
Filed under: Ictidomys tridecemlineatus (thirteen-lined ground squirrel)
Lineage: Eukaryota; Metazoa; Chordata; Mammalia; Rodentia; Sciuridae
Description: Spermophilus tridecemlineatus (thirteen-lined ground squirrel) tRNA
Rfam family: tRNA
About the family: Transfer RNA (tRNA) molecules are approximately 80 nucleotides in length. Their secondary structure includes four short double-helical elements and three loops (D, anti-codon, and T loops).
Source: Rfam by way of RNAcentral
GGUUGUGGCUUAGUGGUAGGGCACUUGUCUCACAUGCAUGAGGCACUGAGUUCAAUCCUCAGCACCA